RNAcentral lists this ribosomal RNA (426 nucleotides) under uncultured bacterium. Its description in RNAcentral is "partial 16S ribosomal RNA". It matches the Rfam family "Bacterial small subunit ribosomal RNA", at positions 354 to 796 of the family's 1533-position model. The record is from RNAcentral.
GUGAGGAAUUUUCCGCAAUGGGCGAAAGCCUGACGGAGCAAUGCCGCGUGAAGGAUGAAGGCCUAUGGGUUGUAAACUUCUUUUCUCAGAAAAGAAUUAUGACGGUAUCUGAGGAAUAAGCAUCGGCUAACUCUGUGCCAGCAGCCGCGGUAAGACAGAGGAUGCAAGCGUUAUCCGGAAUGAUUGGGCGUAAAGCGUCUGUAGGUUGUUUAAAAAGUAUUCUGUCAAAGAUUAGGGCUUAACCCUAGAUAGGCAGAAUAAACUUUUAAGCUAGAGUUUGGUAGAGGCAGAGGGAAUUCCCGGGGGAGCGGUGAAAUGCGUAGAUAUCGGGAGGAACACCAAAGGCGAAGGCACUCUGCUGGGCCAAUACUAACACUGAGAGACGAAAGCGAGGGGAGCAAAUGGGAUUAGAAACCCCGGUAGUCC